CCUGCGGCCUGCGGGGCUGGGCUGCGCGCGGGGGCAGGGAGGGAGGAAGGCAGGAGGAAGGAAGGCGGCGGCGGAGGGGCCGGGCCGGGCGGCGGAGCGCUGUGCGCUGACGGCUCCGUACGCGGGGGAGGGGAUGGAAGGGGGAGGGCGCGAGGCGAGACGCGGCGGCGGCGCCCGAGUCUCGCGGGGCCCUGGUCAAGAUGGCGGCGCGGGGCCCGGCCUAGCGCGGCGCUGAGGGCUCCGCCGUACCGCUCCCGCCCCCGCGCCCCGCGCCUGUCAGUCACACCGCCCGCCCCCAGCCCUGCGCGCGCGCGGGGGGGAGCUGCGCGCUGGCGGUUUCACGUCCGUUGGGCUCGAGCGGUCUCCAUUGUGACCGGCGGGCGGACCGCGAGAGACCCGGAUGAUGACGUCACGUGGCCGCUCGCUCGCUCUCGGUUCCCCUUCCCCGCUGUUGCUGCCGCCCGGCGGGGGCGGCGCCUCCCCAGGGCACGGCGGAGCGGCCGCGGGACGGCGGCACAAAGCGCGGAGGCUCCCGGCUGCCCGGCGGCAGUAGGGGGCUCGUAGGCCUCGGUCAAAGUCUCAUUUUAACAACGUCGUUCAAGAAUUUCAGAGCAGGAAGUGAAGGAUCCAGUCUCCAGCUGAAAACGCAGGAGGAAUUUAGGUCGCUGGGCUGGAAUUUGCUCCAAGGCUUGGUAACAGCCUUUGCUCUGUGCGCAGCAUAUAUCUGCUGGACCUCACCGUGACAAAGACCAAAAUACGGCUCGUCCCUGUGAGGGAGUGCCUGCUGUAAAAAGCCAGAGCUCAAAGCUAGCAAUGAUACGUCCUGUUAUUUCCCAUUUUAACAGAGUUAGUAGGGUUUUGCUAAUCACUGGGAUUAUUUGCGAAGGCAAUCUGAAGUAUGUCUUUGCACUAACCCCUCAGACAAAAUGAUGCAGCUGCUUCAUUGCUGUACAAAUGCAACAGUUUGCAUGCUGAGAGAGGGGUUGUGUGUGCAUUUUACUCACCAACAAUAAAGACAAACCAUAACUGGUGGAAAUCUGUGUCACUGUAAGCCUAUUGUAUUCAAUUUAGAAAUAUGUGUAAUCACAGAAAUAGCAGCCCUUUCAUCUUGGUGAUUUUCAUGCCUAUGAGAGUAUUAUUGUGGCCUCCUUGCUCCUAUUUUUUGGGCCUUGCUAAUUGCUUCAGGCUUUCCCUCCUAUUUCCAAUUUAUCCAUUUUGUUCUCCUGGGAAAUGCUUAAAAUUACUGCACCCGUAAUGCAUGUAACCUUCCUUGCCCUGAAGCUCCUGACUGAUGACUGACAGAGGCAUGGGUGAACAUCCGAUGGUUUCAGUUGUUUGUUGUUUGACAGGUCUCAAUCCCUAAAAAAUAAAAUGCUGUGGUUACUGAUGUUA
Numida meleagris (helmeted guineafowl) is the source of this 1392-nucleotide long non-coding RNA. RefSeq lists it as uncharacterized. NCBI's taxonomy places the organism in Eukaryota, Metazoa, Chordata, Aves, Galliformes, Numididae. The transcript is spliced from 2 exons. The record is from RefSeq and is a predicted model, not a curated record.